This 901-nucleotide long non-coding RNA is filed under the name Homo sapiens (human). RNAcentral's name for it is "HSALNT0393588". Lineage: Eukaryota; Metazoa; Chordata; Mammalia; Primates; Hominidae. The record is from RNAcentral.
AGGUUGAAGUGUUCAUUGUAGUGAGCCUGUGGCAUGAAGGUCCUCCCCAGUAAACAUCAGCCUGCAAACAGAAUCACUAGUGCUUAGCAACAGUGUCAUAGUGCCACUGGAAUGGUGGUAGAAGGAUCUCUUCACCCCUAGACUACCACGGCAGAUUGGAACCCAGGAAUCCGCAGAGAAAACAUAAGAUUUCUAUCUAGAAAAAGGGAGCAAAAGAGAAAGGAAGGGAGUGGAUAGGGCAGGACUGUGUACUUCAGGGGCCUGCAGUCUCUGCACCAGGACACCAGGAGACCUGACUCAGAGAAGAGACUAGAAACCAACAGAAAGAAACUAAACAGCUGUCUGAUACAUAUACAGAUACACACUUGUACAUGUGUAUCCCAAUUUAAAGCUAUACAGAAAAUUAACUGAGGAACGGACUAUGGGGUCGUUGAUCUUCCUUCUCAUCAAACUUGCAUCCCACCAACUUCGGGCCUGCUGCAGCUAAUUAUUCUUGGUGUCAACAAUUUUGGCAUUGCAGAAGACCAUGGAGACAACUUUUUUAUUUCUCCAUCACACAAGGACUGAAGAUACAAAAAUGAGUUUUUCUUUCCUAUGGCCUUGGACUAGCUAUAUACGAUAGUAAUUAGCAAGCAGGCUCUGAAUUACACGAGCCCCUCCCACUGACUCUUGUACUUUUUAGCUAUAAGAACCUAAGCACGAACUUCGCAGAGCUCCAGUGCUUCUGUUUUGAAAAGAGAUAAUAUUUCCUAUGGGAUAGGGUUGUCUGGGGGUACUAAAUGAGAACUACAUACAAAGUACUUAAUGGAAGGUAUGUAGGACUCAAUAGAGGUAGCUAUUAAAUUGUAUGUAAGUAACAAAUCCUGAUAAUGUUCAAUUCUGAAUAAAACUUAGCAAGGUA